RNAcentral lists this transfer RNA (85 nucleotides) under Candidatus Liberibacter americanus str. Sao Paulo. RNAcentral's name for it is "tRNA-Tyr (GTA) (tRNA-Tyr-GTA-1-1)". It matches the Rfam family "tRNA". Rfam says of the family: Transfer RNA (tRNA) molecules are approximately 80 nucleotides in length. The record is from RNAcentral. RNAcentral also lists the same sequence under 1 other name. Lineage: Bacteria; Pseudomonadati; Pseudomonadota; Alphaproteobacteria; Hyphomicrobiales; Rhizobiaceae.
GGAGGGAUGCCCGAGUGGUUAAAGGGGGCGGACUGUAAAUCCGUUGGUUUAUCCUACGUUGGUUCGAAUCCAACUCUCUCCACCA